RNAcentral lists this transfer RNA (73 nucleotides) under Oryza sativa Indica Group (long-grained rice). Its description in RNAcentral is "tRNA-OTHER". The record is from RNAcentral. Lineage: Eukaryota; Viridiplantae; Streptophyta; Magnoliopsida; Poales; Poaceae.
GGCUGGGGAGCCCAGUCGGUUAAGCACUCGCUUAGCAUGCGAAAGGUCCCAGGUUCGGGUCCGGGCAUCGCCA